This 292-nucleotide ribosomal RNA is filed under the name uncultured Streptococcus sp. Its description in RNAcentral is "partial 16S ribosomal RNA". It matches the Rfam family "Bacterial small subunit ribosomal RNA", at positions 1089 to 1382 of the family's 1533-position model. Lineage: Bacteria; Bacillati; Bacillota; Bacilli; Lactobacillales; Streptococcaceae. The record is from RNAcentral.
GCAACGAGCGCAACCCCUACUUGUUAGUUGCCAUCAUUCAGUUGGGCACUCUAGCGAGACUGCGGUAAUAAACCGGAGGAAGUGGGGAGUGACGUCAAAUCAUCAUGCCCCUUAUGACCUGGGCUACACACGUGCUACAAUGGUUGGUACAACGAGUUGCGAGUCGGUGACGGCGAGCUAAUCUCUUAAAGCCAAUCUCAGUUCGGAUUGUAGGCUGCAACUCGCCUACAUGAAGUCGGAAUCGCUAGUAAUCGCGGAUCAGCACGCCGCGGUGAAUACGUUCCCGGGCCUU